Molecule: ribosomal RNA, 800 nt
Filed under: Virgibacillus sp. JSM 101081
Lineage: Bacteria; Bacillati; Bacillota; Bacilli; Caryophanales; Bacillaceae
Description: bacterial SSU rRNA
Rfam family: Bacterial small subunit ribosomal RNA
Source: RNAcentral
UGGGGGGGUUGCCUAAUACAUGCAAGUCGAGCGCGGGAAGCAAGCUGAUCCUCUUCGGAGGUGACGCUUGUGGAACGAGCGGCGGACGGGUGAGUAACACGUGGGCAACCUGCCUGUAAGACUGGGAUAACCCCGGGAAACCGGGGCUAAUACCGGAUAAUACUUUUCAUCACCUGAUGGGAAGUUGAAAGGUGGCUUUUAGCUACCACUUACAGAUGGGCCCGCGGCGCAUUAGCUAGUUGGUGAGGUAACGGCUCACCAAGGCAACGAUGCGUAGCCGACCUGAGAGGGUGAUCGGCCACACUGGGACUGAGACACGGCCCAGACUCCUACGGGAGGCAGCAGUAGGGAAUCUUCCGCAAUGGACGAAAGUCUGACGGAGCAACGCCGCGUGAGUGAUGAAGGUUUUCGGAUCGUAAAGCUCUGUUGUUAGGGAAGAACAAGUGCCGUUCGAAUAGGGCGGCACCUUGACGGUACCUAACCAGAAAGCCCCGGCUAACUACGUGCCAGCAGCCGCGGUAAUACGUAGGGGGCAAGCGUUGUCCGGAAUUAUUGGGCGUAAAGCGCGCGCAGGCGGUCCUUUAAGUCUGAUGUGAAAGCCCACGGCUCAACCGUGGAGGGUCAUUGGAAACUGGAGGACUUGAGUACAGAAGAGGAGAGUGGAAUUCCACGUGUAGCGGUGAAAUGCGUAGAGAUGUGGAGGAACACCAGUGGCGAAGGCGACUCUCUGGUCUGUAACUGACGCUGAGGCGCGAAAGCGUGGGGAGCGAACAGGAUUAGAUACCCUGGUAGUCCACGCC